This 784-nucleotide ribosomal RNA is filed under the name Rugamonas rubra. RNAcentral's name for it is "bacterial SSU rRNA". It matches the Rfam family "Bacterial small subunit ribosomal RNA", at positions 61 to 841 of the family's 1533-position model. Lineage: Bacteria; Pseudomonadati; Pseudomonadota; Betaproteobacteria; Burkholderiales; Oxalobacteraceae. The record is from RNAcentral.
GUCGAACGGCAGCGCGGGGCAACCUGGCGGCGAGUGGCGAACGGGUGAGUAAUAUAUCGGAACGUACCCUNGAGUGGGGGAUAACGUAGCGAAAGUUACGCUAAUACCGCAUACGAUCUANGGAUGAAAGUGGGGGAUUCGCAAGAACCUCAUGCUCGUGGAGCGGCCGAUAUCUGAUUAGCUAGUUGGUAGGGUAAAAGCCUACCANGGCAUCGAUCAGUAGCUGGUCUGAGAGGACGACCAGCCACACUGGAACUGAGACACGGUCCAGACUCCUACGGGAGGCAGCAGUGGGGAAUUUUGGACAAUGGGCGAAAGCCUGAUCCAGCAAUGCCGCGUGAGUGAAGAAGGCCUUCGGGUUGUAAAGCUCUUUUGUCAGGGAAGAAACGGUGGACUCUAAUACAGGCCACUAAUGACGGUACCUGAAGAAUAAGCACCGGCUAACUACGUGCCAGCAGCCGCGGUAAUACGUAGGGUGCAAGCGUUAAUCGGAAUUACUGGGCGUAAAGCGUGCGCAGGCGGUUUUGUAAGUCUGACGUGAAAUCCCCGGGCUCAACCUGGGAAUUGCGUUGGAGACUGCAAGGCUAGAGUUUGGCAGAGGGGGGUAGAAUUCCACGUGUAGCAGUGAAAUGCGUAGAUAUGUGGAGGAACACCGAUGGCGAAGGCAGCCCCCUGGGUCAAGACUGACGCUCAUGCACGAAAGCGUGGAGAGCAAACAGGAUUAGAUACCCUGGUAGUCCACGCCCUAAACGAUGUCUACUAGUUGUCGGGUCUUAAUUGACUU